Molecule: non-coding RNA, 267 nt
Organism: Cinara cedri
Lineage: Eukaryota; Metazoa; Arthropoda; Insecta; Hemiptera; Aphididae
Source: the annotation of a GenBank genome assembly
GUUUCCGUAUACACAAAAAACAUUUUAAAAACUCUAUCAACGAAGCUACACUAAGUACCUAUACCUAUAUAGUUUGAGGAUCAAAAAUCAGAUGAAAGGAUAAAAACUUUUUCACCGUCCACAAAUUCUACCGGAGAAAUAUCGAUCGGUUGUAGUGGUGCACUUUUAGUAUCCGUUAAAGUAUUCCCACAGUACAAAUUGAAAACGAUUUCCAUCGAUAAUAUCGAUUCAUUUCGGCGAGACUGCCAGGAUGAUAGAAUAAAAGUA